RNAcentral lists this unclassified non-coding RNA (400 nucleotides) under uncultured fungus. Its description in RNAcentral is "sequence contains ITS1". Lineage: Eukaryota; Fungi. The record is from RNAcentral.
GGACUACUGGGGUUUCUAAUCCUGUUUGAUACCCACACUUUCGAGCAUCAGUGUCAGUUGCAGUCCAGUGAGCUGCCUUCGCAAUCGGAGUUCUUCGUGAUAUCUAAGCAUUUCACCGCUACACCACGAAUUCCGCCCACCUCUACUGUACUCAAGACUGACAGUAUCAACUGCAAUUUUACGGUUGAGCCGCAAACUUUCACAACUGACUUACCAGUCCACCUACGCUCCCUUUAAACCCAAUAAAUCCGGAUAACGCUCGGAUCCUCCGUAUUACCGCGGCUGCUGGCACGGAGUUAGCCGAUCCUUAUUCAUAUAAUACAUACAAAACAGUAUACAUACUGCACUUUAUUCUUAUAUAAAAGAAGUUUACGACCCAUAGAGCCUUCAUCCUUCACGC